Molecule: ribosomal RNA, 510 nt
Filed under: uncultured bacterium
Lineage: Bacteria
Description: partial 16S ribosomal RNA
Rfam family: Bacterial small subunit ribosomal RNA
Source: RNAcentral
GACGAACGCUGGCGGCGUGCUUAACACAUGCAAGUCGAACGAAGAGCGAUGGAAGCUUGCUUCUAUCAAUCUUAGUGGCGAACGGGUGAGUAACGCGUAAUCAACCUGCCCUUCAGAGGGGGACAACAGUUGGAAACGACUGCUAAUACCGCAUACGAUCUAAUCUCGGCAUCGAGGAUAGAUGAAAGGUGGCCUCUACAUGUAAGCUAUCACUGCAGGAGGGGAUUGCGUCUGAUUAGCAAGUUGGAGGGGUAAAGGCCCACCAAGGCGAUGAUCAGUAGCCUGUCUGAGAGGAUGAACCGCCACAUUGGGACUGAGACACGGCCCAGACUCCUACGGGAGGCAGCAGUGGGGAAUCUUCCGCAAUGGACGAAAGUCUGACGGAGCAACGCCGCGUGAGUGAUGACGGCCUUCGGGUUGUAAAGCUCUGUUAAUCGGGACGAAAGGCCUUCUUGCGAAUAGUGAGAAGGAUUGACGGUACCGGAAUAGAAAGCCACGGCUAACUACGUG